GGUCAAGCUAAUAAGGGCUUACGGUGGAUACCUAGGCACACAGAGGCGAAGAAGGACGUGGUUACCGACGAUAUACUCCGGGGAGUUGGAAGCAAACAUUGAGCCGGAGGUUUCCGAAUGGGGCAACCCUAAAUACUACCUGUUGAAUAUAUAGACAGGAAAGAGCCAACCCAGCGAACUGAAACAUCUUAGUAGCUGGAGGAAGAGAAAUCAAAAGAGAUUCCCUGAGUAGUGGUGAGCGAAAGGGGAAAAGCCUAAACCAAAGGAUUUAUCCUUUGGGGUAGUGGGACAGCGAUAUCGAAUCUGGCGGUUAGACGAAGCAGCUAAAUACUGCACCAAAGAAGGUGAAAGUCCUGUAGUCGAAAACUCAAGGAUAGUAGCUGAAUCCCGAGUAGCAUGGGGCACGAGGAAUCCCAUGUGAAUCAGCGAGGACCAUCUCGUAAGGCUAAAUACUACUGUGUGACCGAUAGUGAACCAGUACCGCGAGGGAAAGGUGAAAAGAACCCCGGAAGGGGAGUGAAAUAGAACAUGAAACCGUAAGCUUACAAGCAGUGGGAGGACGAUUGAACGUCUGACCGCGUGCCUGUUGAAGAAUGAGCCGGCGACUUAUAGGCACUGGUAGGUUAAGGCGAGAAUGCCGGAGCCAAAGGGAAACCGAGUCUGAAAAGGGCGCUCAAUCAGUGUUUAUAGACCCGAACCCUGGUGAUCUAACCAUGGCCAGGAUGAAGCUUGGGUAACACCAAGUGGAGGUCCGAACCGACUGAUGUUGAAAAAUCAGCGGAUGAGCUGUGGUUAGGGGUGAAAUGCCAAUCGAACCAGGAGCUAGCUGGUUCUCCCCGAAAUGUGUUUAGGCGCAGCGGUAAUGAUUAAAUCUGGGGGGUAAAGCACUGUUUCGGUGCGGGCUGGGAGACCGGUACCAAAUCGAGACAAACUCAGAAUACCCAGAGAACACAUUGCCAGUGAGACAGUGGGGGAUAAGCUUCAUUGUCAAGAGGGAAACAGCCCAGACCACCAGCUAAGGUCCCCAAAUCAUCACUAAGUGAUAAAGGAGGUGGGAUUGCAUAGACAACUAGGAGGUUUGCCUAGAAGCAGCCAACCUUAAAAGAGUGCGUAAUAGCUCACUAGUCAAGCGAUCCUGCGCCGAAAAUGAACGGGGCUAAGUGAUGUACCGAAGCUGUGGGAUUAAUCUAGUAUUAAUCGGUAGGGGAGCGUUCCGUAUUAGGUAGAAGCAGUAGCGGCGAGCAGCUGUGGACGAAACGGAAGUGAGAAUGUCGGCUUGAGUAGCGCAAACAUUGGUGAGAAUCCAAUGCCCCGAAACCCUAAGGGUUCCUCCGCCAGGUUCGUCCACGGAGGGUUAGUCGGGUCCUAAGGCGAGGUCGAAGGGCGUAGUCGAUGGACACAGGGUGAAUAAUCCCUGACUACUAUGUGGGAGCAUUGCGAGGGACGCAUGAAAGAUAGCCAUACCCUGAUUGGUUUGGGAGGAGUUUACGAACUCCGCGUGGUGAAGGAUAGUGUCAAGAAAAGCUCGUAAUGUGAUGAAAACAUAGUACCCGUACCCGAAACCGACACAGGUAGGGAGGUUGAGAAUACCAAGGGGCGCGAGAUAACUCUCUCUAAGGAACUCGGCAAAAUGGCCCCGUAACUUCGGGAGAAGGGGUGCCCACCUCAGACGUGGGUCGCAGUGAAGAGAUCCAGGCGACUGUUUACCAAAAACACAGGUCUCCGCCAACUCGAAAGAGGACGUAUGGGGGCUGACGCCUGCCCAGUGCCGGAAGGUUAAGGAAGUUGGUCAGGGGUUCGCCUUGAAGCUGACGACCGAAGCCCCGGUGAACGGCGGCCGUAACUAUAACGGUCCUAAGGUAGCGAAAUUCCUUGUCGGGUAAGUUCCGACCCGCACGAAAGGCGUAACGAUCUGGAUGGUGUCUCAGAGAGAGACUCGGCGAAAUAGGAAUGUCUGUGAAGAUACGGACUGCCUGCACCUGGACAGAAAGACCCUAUGAAGCUUUACUGUAGCCUGGAAUUGUGUUCGGGCUUCGCUUGCGCAGGAUAGGUGGGAAGCGAAGAAGUAUCCCUUGUGGGGGAUAUGGAGCUAACGGUGAGAUACCACUCUGGCGAAGCUAGAAUUCUAACCCAUGACCGUAAGCCGGUCAGGGAACAGUUUCAGGUGGGCAGUUUGACUGGGGCGGUCGCCUCCUAAAAAGUAACGGAGGCGCGCAAAGGUUCUCUCAGCACGCUUGGAAACCGUGCGGCGAGUGUAAAGGCAAAAGAGAGCUUGACUGCGAGAGAUACAACUCAAGCAGGGACGAAAGUCGGCCUUAGUGAUCCGACGGCACAGCAUGGAAUGGCCGUCGCUCAACGGAUAAAAGUUACUCUAGGGAUAACAGGCUGAUCUCCCCCAAGAGUCCACAUCGACGGGGAGGUUUGGCACCUCGAUGUCGGCUCAUCGCAACCUGGGGCGGAAGUACGUCCCAAGGGUUGGGCUGUUCGCCCAUUAAAGCGGUACGUGAGCUGGGUUCAGAACGUCGUGAGACAGUUCGGUCCAUAUCCGGUGCAGGCGCAAGAGCAUUGAGAGGAGCCUUCCUUAGUACGAGAGGACCGGGAAGGACGCACCGCUGGUGUACCAGUUAUCGUACCAACGGUAAACGCUGGGUAGCCAAGUGCGGAGCGGAUAACCGCUGAAAGCAUCUAAGUGGGAA
This 2696-nucleotide ribosomal RNA is filed under the name Nodularia spumigena CCY9414. RNAcentral's name for it is "bacterial LSU rRNA". It matches the Rfam family "Bacterial large subunit ribosomal RNA". Lineage: Bacteria; Bacillati; Cyanobacteriota; Cyanophyceae; Nostocales; Nodulariaceae. The record is from RNAcentral.